Molecule: small RNA, 240 nt
Filed under: Pongo abelii (Sumatran orangutan)
Lineage: Eukaryota; Metazoa; Chordata; Mammalia; Primates; Hominidae
Description: sense intronic
Source: RNAcentral
CGCGCCACUGCAUUCCAGCCUGGCGACAGAGUGAGACUCCCUCAAAAAACAAACAGACAAAAAAAAACACCGUAGUAUAUAUUCACUCUUACUGUGUAAGAGUUAGAUAAAACUAAGCACAAAACAUGACACUCCCCUUUGCUUUACCCCCACUGCACUGCCAGAGGGAAAACCUUCCCUUUCUAUCCAUCUACACACAAAUUUGUUUAUUUUGUUUUCAAAAUAAAAGAGAUUGUGCUA